RNAcentral lists this ribosomal RNA (303 nucleotides) under uncultured bacterium. Its description in RNAcentral is "bacterial SSU rRNA". It matches the Rfam family "Bacterial small subunit ribosomal RNA", at positions 355 to 675 of the family's 1533-position model. The record is from RNAcentral.
UCGGGAAUAUUGCGCAAUGGAGGAAACUCUGACGCAGUGACGCCGCGUGCAGGAAGAAGGUUUUCGGAUUGUAAACUGCUUUAGACAGGGAAGAUAAUGACAGUACCUGUAAAAUAAGCUCCGGCUAACUACGUGCCAGCAGCCGCGGUAAUACGUAGGGAGCAAGCGUUAUCCGGAUUUAUUGGGUGUAAAGGGUGCGUAGACGGGAAGGCAAGUUGGUUGUGAAAUCCCUCGGCUUAACUGAGGAACUGCAACCAAAACUAUCUUUCUUGAGUGCUGGAGAGGAAAGUGGAAUUCCUAGUG